ACCAGACUCCUACGGGAGGCAGCAGUGGGGAAUAUUGCACAAUGGGGGAAACCCUGAUGCAGCGACGCCGCGUGAGUGAAGAAGUAUUUCGGUAUGUAAAGCUCUAUCAGCAGGGAAGAAAAUGACGGUACCUAAUUAAGAAGCCCCGGCUAACUACGUGCCAGCAGCCGCGGUAAUACGUAGGGGGCAAGCGUUAUCCGGAUUUACUGGGUGUAAAGGGAGCGUAGACGGCAGAGCAAGUCUGAAGUGAAAGCCCGGGGCCCAACUGCGGGACUGCUUUGGAAACUGCCCGGCUAGAGUGCUGGAGAGGUAAGCGGAAUUCCUAGUGUAGCGGUGAAAUGCGUAGAUAUUAGGAGGAACACCAGUGGCGAAGGCGGCUUACUGGACAGUAACUGACGUUGAGGCUCGAAAGCGUGGGGAGCAAACAGGAUUAGAUACCCUCGUAA
This 446-nucleotide ribosomal RNA is filed under the name uncultured bacterium. RNAcentral's name for it is "bacterial SSU rRNA". It matches the Rfam family "Bacterial small subunit ribosomal RNA", at positions 330 to 793 of the family's 1533-position model. The record is from RNAcentral.